RNAcentral lists this non-coding RNA (23 nucleotides) under Cricetulus griseus (Chinese hamster). Lineage: Eukaryota; Metazoa; Chordata; Mammalia; Rodentia; Cricetidae. The record is from RNAcentral.
UGUAAGCUGAACACAAAUAGAGC